UACAGAGGGUGCAAGCGUUAAUCGGAAUUACUGGGCGUAAAGCGUGCGUAGGCGGUUACGUAAGUCAGAUGUGAAAGCCCCGGGCUCAACCUGGGAAUUGCAUUUGAGACUGCGUAGCUAGGGUGCGGAAGAGGGAAGCGGAAUUUCCGGUGUAGCGGUGAAAUGCGUAGAUAUCAGGAGGAACACCAAUGGCGAAGGCAGCACGCUGGGACGUUACUGACGCUGAGACGCGAAAGCGAGGGGAGCAAACAGG
RNAcentral lists this ribosomal RNA (253 nucleotides) under uncultured bacterium. Its description in RNAcentral is "partial 16S ribosomal RNA". It matches the Rfam family "Bacterial small subunit ribosomal RNA", at positions 524 to 776 of the family's 1533-position model. The record is from RNAcentral.